GCACUCCACUCAUCCCCUCAAUCCCACCAAGUUGCUGCCAGAGGCCCUGCCUCAUGCGCCCGCGCAAGGAGACGAGCCCUCUCCUGCAGCUCGAGCUCCUUCGUCCACGUCUGUGUCGCCUCCGACCUCCUCGCAACCCCGCUGCCCCAGCGAACCUCGCCGCCGGCAACCACCACCAGCAGAUAAGCCCUGCGCCGCCCUUUCCUUUCCUGCUUCUCUCUUCUCCCUCUCACUUCUCUCGAUGGUUUUCUUUUUUCGUCAGAGAACCAUCAGCCGAAGCCGUCCCUGUCGCCCGAGCUCCUCCCUGCACAGCGCGCGCCCGCACGACCCCGUCGCUGGCGACCCGUCUCCAGCCGCCGCGGAGCCGCUCAGCGCCCACGCCUCACCAUCUUGCUGCUGCCCGCACCAUCGGAGGUCCGUCGGACCCGCGACCAGGUCACUGCCGAGCCUCCUCGUGACCAAGAACGAAAUCCCAUGACCGCCCGCGCCAUCUGUCGUUCUUCUCCGGCAGCUGCGCCGGCGAGCGCCCCGCCGGACCCGCUCUCUUCCUCGUCUCUUCGCUACCGAACCGCAGACAACAGCAGCUUCCAUGGUUGUGUAGCUCUCCGCCGGCCUCCACAAGCCGAGCGUCACCGGAUCUGGAGGAUCCGGGCCUCCCGCGCUUUCCCGUGUCCGUCCCCUGCCUCUCCGCUUUGCCGGAGUCCCUCGCGAGCCAGCGUCGUGAGCUCCAGCGCCGCGGCUCCUCUGUGUUUUAUCGAACAGAGGCGACGCCCGUAGCCUCCCCGCCUCGCGCAUCUGGACCAGCCAGCGCCAAGUCGGCCCACUCAGCGCUCCGCUAGAUGCGCCUGUCUCUACCACCACCUCAGUAGAUGGGCCGAGGCCCAUGGUGAGGCCACCCCAGCGUUCUUUUUCUUUUUUUCCUCUGUUGGGCUUCCUGUCCAGUUUCGGCCCGCUUAUGUUUUUUCAGCGUCUGCGAAUUUAGCUAAU
Non-coding RNA from Triticum urartu, 987 nucleotides. NCBI's taxonomy places the organism in Eukaryota, Viridiplantae, Streptophyta, Magnoliopsida, Poales, Poaceae. The record is from RefSeq and is a predicted model, not a curated record.